This is a small nuclear RNA of Ixodes scapularis (black-legged tick), 187 nucleotides long. RefSeq annotates it as U2 spliceosomal RNA. The record is from RefSeq and is a predicted model, not a curated record. The transcript has a single exon. Lineage: Eukaryota; Metazoa; Arthropoda; Arachnida; Ixodida; Ixodidae.
AUCGCUUCUCGGCCUUUUGGCUAAGAUCAUUUGUAGUUUCUGUUCUUAUCAGCUUAAUAUCUGAUACGGGCCUAAUUGGUCCAAGAUAUUAAACUUAUUUUUGCAAUUGGCGUCCCUACGAAGCUUGCUUUCGAGGGCGCUAGGGUCGACCCGGUAUUGCACUACUUCCGGGAGUGGCCCGCCCCCC